UGGUCAGUUGGUGAGUGGGCUCCAGCGGACCGAGGUUUAAGCCCCGCGGGUAGCCUUGUGGGUUGCCGUAUGGAACUUCGGAUCCUAAACUUCCCGUCUUGUCCUUGUAUGUUCUAGGUUGGGGGCCGUCCCGCAUCUAGGGCAGGAAGAUGGUGGCUGCAAAGAAGACGAAAAAGUCGCUGGAGUCGAUCAACUCAAGGUCCAGCUCGUUAUGAAAAGUGGAAAGUAUGUGCUGGGUUACAAGCAGACUUUGAAGAUGAUCAGACAAGGCAAAGCGAAAUUGGUCAUCCUCGCCAACAACUGCCCAGCUUUGAGGAAAUCUGAAAUAGAAUAUUAUGUCAUGUUAGCCAAAACUGGUGUUCAUCACUACAGUGGCAAUAAUAUUGAAUUGGGCACAGCAUGUGGAAAAUACUACAGAGUAUGCACACUGGCCAUCAUUGAUCCAGGUGACUCUGAUAUCAUUAGAAGCAUGCCAGAACAGACUGGUGAAAAGUAAAUCAUGUACAUUUUUUCUUUAAUAAAACUUGCUAGAGCUUGUUUAAAAAAAAAAAAAAA
Nycticebus coucang (slow loris) is the source of this 555-nucleotide RNA transcript. It is a transcript of the gene named 60S ribosomal protein L30-like, with no coding region annotated. Lineage: Eukaryota; Metazoa; Chordata; Mammalia; Primates; Lorisidae. The record is from RefSeq and is a predicted model, not a curated record. The transcript has a single exon.